Molecule: long non-coding RNA, 1497 nt
Organism: Tachysurus fulvidraco (yellow catfish)
Lineage: Eukaryota; Metazoa; Chordata; Actinopteri; Siluriformes; Bagridae
Exons: 4
Source: RefSeq, a predicted model, not a curated record
UGCACAGUUUAGUGUGUUACUGCUUCAACACCUGAUGAAGCUCAUGAAGGGCUUCAUAAUGAGACGAGUGAGUUUGAUCAGGUGGAACACAGCUGUAAAACACCUCACUAUACUGACCUCACAUUAGUAGAACUGGCUCUGUUGCUGAAUUCAAGUGGAUGAUCCAUUGACGCGUCACUCUUCAUGGACACACAGCUGGGUUCUGAUCGAACAAGUUGUGUAAAAGUAACACCUCGAGAAACCACAAACAUGUUUUCUGAUACCACAACGGAGGUCUUCUUAUCAUUAAAGUCUUGUGCAUCAAGCACUCCAAGUGUGUCCAGCACAGAUAGUUCCAGUACAACUGUGGAUUUAUCUGUAUGGCCCGAAAACGUUGAAGUUCCCUGGAAUAGGAUGUCUUCUGGUAUUAAAACAGCCAUUUCACUGGGAAAACGCCCUACAGCAAAGGCUCGCAGAGAAAUGUAGAGUUAAAUCCAUUGAAAUCACAGUGCCUGAUUGUUGCUAAGAAGAUAGUUAGACAAUAUCCAGAAUGCUUUGCUGAUGUCCUCAGAGAUGGCACAAAGAUUGGCACUGGCUAUGGAUCUCUGAUGAAUCAAAUUAAAACAAGAGUAGAGCAUGCUAAUCGUGGCUGCUCACUGUCAAGAUGCAGAAAACAGAAAAUGACCUCAAAUUCACCAUUGGAACACAUUGCUCCAGGACCUGCUGACCAGUACGGUUGUGUGAGAUGGCAGCCUGAGUGUCCUUGUAGAAGAAACUGAGGAGAGUCUCAAAGAUAAACAAAAAGAAAUGAAAGACUUCUCUAGUACCAGUGAGGGACCAGCUGGAGCAGAGAGAAGACAUCUCAGCCAGUUAAUGGAAGUGACAUACUAUCUCCAACGGAAAUCAAUCAAUGCCUGUCCAUCACCAUCCUUUGCUGAGUUGAAAAAUGACUGGCCAUACCUUUUUACACCAAAAGAACUUUAUAGCCACUCUAAAUCACUCACAAACAUUAGCAUUCUGGAAAAACUUGAGAAGUCCUUGGAAGAGAAGGGAAAGAUGAUCAUUCAGUUCUUCCAACAAAAGCCAGCAGGGUGUAAUGCAAAUGAUAUCCAGCGCAUACUUAUGAAGUUUGAUGAUAGUGGAGCAUCUUGUUUCAUCCCAUGCAUGAUCCUUCUACUACUAUCUCAUUUCAAAGUGAAACCUUAAGCACUCGUUCUUCAGGCUGAUGUAUCGGCAACAGUAGCUGAUGUUGAAAAAAGUUUCACUCUUCCAGACUCUCCAAGACUGAUCGUCCUAGGUGAAAUCCUCACUGCAACUCAACCUUGUGGCUGGAUUUGCAGCUUUGUUUGCAUCUUACUACAACUUCUUGGGUUUUGGAGAAUUUACAGGAUUUUAUUGGCAACUCUAGUUGCCAACUAAAUACUGUAAUUUGGAAUAAAAAAAAAAUACUAUAACUCAUACAAGUUUAAUUCUUUAUUACUGUAAAAUAAACAAUAAAGUACUGUAUUUUACAAACAA